GCGGGUGUAGCUCAAAAUGGAUAGAGCGGCUGGACAUUACACAGCCAGGUUGGGGGUUCGAGCCCCUCCGCCCGUG
RNAcentral lists this transfer RNA (76 nucleotides) under Kitasatospora sp. Root187. It matches the Rfam family "tRNA". Rfam says of the family: Transfer RNA (tRNA) molecules are approximately 80 nucleotides in length. Their secondary structure includes four short double-helical elements and three loops (D, anti-codon, and T loops). Further hydrogen bonds mediate the characteristic L-shaped molecular structure. tRNAs have two regions of fundamental functional importance: the anti-codon, which is responsible for specific mRNA codon recognition, and the 3' end, to which the tRNAs corresponding amino acid is attached (by aminoacyl-tRNA synthetases). tRNAs cope with the degeneracy of the genetic code in two manners: having more than one tRNA (with a specific anti-codon) for a particular amino acid; and 'wobble' base-pairing, i.e. permitting non-standard base-pairing at the 3rd anti-codon position. Lineage: Bacteria; Bacillati; Actinomycetota; Actinomycetes; Kitasatosporales; Streptomycetaceae. The record is from Rfam by way of RNAcentral.